UCCCUGGUGGUCCAGUGACUAAGACUCUUCGCUCCCAAUGCAGGGGCCUGGGUUUGAGUCCUGGUCAGGGAA
This 72-nucleotide transfer RNA is filed under the name Capra hircus (goat). It matches the Rfam family "tRNA". From Rfam's summary of the family: Transfer RNA (tRNA) molecules are approximately 80 nucleotides in length. Their secondary structure includes four short double-helical elements and three loops (D, anti-codon, and T loops). Further hydrogen bonds mediate the characteristic L-shaped molecular structure. tRNAs have two regions of fundamental functional importance: the anti-codon, which is responsible for specific mRNA codon recognition, and the 3' end, to which the tRNAs corresponding amino acid is attached (by aminoacyl-tRNA synthetases). tRNAs cope with the degeneracy of the genetic code in two manners: having more than one tRNA (with a specific anti-codon) for a particular amino acid; and 'wobble' base-pairing, i.e. permitting non-standard base-pairing at the 3rd anti-codon position. Lineage: Eukaryota; Metazoa; Chordata; Mammalia; Artiodactyla; Bovidae. The record is from Rfam by way of RNAcentral. RNAcentral also lists the same sequence under 1 other name.